GCCGUGGCCUACUGGUUAGUGCUUCGGACUUGUAACCGGAAGGGUUGCCGGUUCGAACCCCGACCAGUAGGCA
This 73-nucleotide transfer RNA is filed under the name Alosa alosa (allis shad). Its description in RNAcentral is "tRNA-OTHER". The record is from RNAcentral. Lineage: Eukaryota; Metazoa; Chordata; Actinopteri; Clupeiformes; Clupeidae.